Streptomyces sp. IB2014 011-1 is the source of this 50-nucleotide non-coding RNA. Lineage: Bacteria; Bacillati; Actinomycetota; Actinomycetes; Kitasatosporales; Streptomycetaceae. The record is from Rfam.
GCAGCGGGACGACCCGCUUGCCGUGUCCGGCGGCGUCCAGGACGGCCUGG